CCAUAUUGAAUCCAACAGCUGAUUGCUGCUGCCAUUUUUAUGCGUAGCAGAAUGUUAUUCACAUCUCUAUGCUUCUAAUUUUCUAUUAUGUUUAUUUAAUUCAUAACCAGUUUGCAUGGCAACCGAUUGAAUGAAAUGGAUUAUUCGAAAAGCCACUAAAAAUGGAUCAACGAUUAUAUGUCAAGUCUUUUGAGCAUUUUGCAUCUGGGGAGCUCGAGAGGAUUCAUAGUUGAUGAAUUUUGCUGAAGAUCUUUCCCAGUAGUAAACUAGAUGAGAAUUUUUCUUUAUUUAAAAGAUAAGACUUGUAAGGAAUCCUGAAGGGAUCCUUUCGGAAUCUAGCGUCAAGAAAAAUUUUCGUGAGUAAGACAAAAGAGAGAGAGAGCUUAACCCUUAAAAAAAAACUAGGUAUAAGAAAUUUAAUUGUUUACUAUUGUUUAGGGAAUACGAUAUAUAUAUUUUUGCGCUUUGGGUUAAUUAGUUUUGGAAAUAAUGGAAUUAUCGGUUAAAUAAAAAUUAAGUUACGUUUUCAAGAGUCAGAAUUAGGAAUUAUGUUUAUUAGAUUUUGCGGAUGUUUGACGCGCCCGGCAGUUUUACAAUUUACAAUUUUGGUUCAAGGAGAAUUAUUACGCUUUUAGGCCAAGACAUUACCGAGCCACGUAAUUUAUUCGAAUUGAAACCCUUCUAUUGUUUUCGCGGAAACGUGUAAGAGCAGUUGGAAUGCUGCCGCUCAAAUAGUGGAUUUACGGGGUAGGAUGGGUUUUGAGUUUAGUUUCAGGGUGGAAGGCCACGCGAGUAAUCACGACCAUUACCAUCGCGUGGAUUGCCAAAAGGUCGAAUUACGUUUAUGUUUAAGAAUUAGAGCGAUGGAUAACUAGAAUGAGAUCGCGAAAAUAUCGUUUUGUUUUUAGAAAAUUAAUUACGUUUCUCCUAACCCCGGAGAUCCCGAGAAUGCAACCACGAAAAUAAAAAUCAAGUUACGCGAACAUUUGAACUUUCGCGCCGAGACCUGCCAGGCCAACUCUGCGUUGCCAUAACGCCCGGAGCGCUACGCUCCCGUCGGUCGCCAUGCGCCGACCUGUCGCGUAGCAACAGUCGCUACGUAGACGUCGCCGGCAUCACCACGUGUUGCAGGAACACCGACAAAAUUAAUAGUCAUUAUAGUGGAAGCUAAUUGUUCAUCGAGGAAAAUUGCGAUUGGACCAUCACCCAAAAGGACACCCAGCCAUUAGAACACUUCGCUGAGGAUCCAUCGAGAACGAAUCCCACUUAAUUCCCGGAACCACGUUGGCACCGUUUGAAAGUGACCAUUCUUCCAUUGCUUAGCAAUUGCUUAGCAAUUGCAAGCCAUGUCUGAAUGACGCAAUACUCGUGACCUUGAUGAUGUCACGUAUGUUUUUGGAAUCUGGGAGAAUAUUUACGGAUUAAGGAAAUACUUUUGCGCUAGUCGCCUAUAUAUUUUAAUUUACGUUACUGCUUCUUGAAACUUCGAGUUUUCUUUUGUACGUUUGCGCCUUUUGGUUUAUAUUAUAUAUUCCAAAAUUACGUUUUAUUAUGGAUCGUCCAUAUAUUCCAAAUUAAUUUGGAAGAAUUUGCAAGUUUUGCCUCUUACUGAUAUUUCUUCGAAAUUGUCUACCGCCGAUGGAUUUAUUCCAUUAUUGCACCUUUGGUCUUUUUGGUUUAUUUAUAUUACGAAAUUGAAACUAAUUAGGGAUUAUCCGUAUAAUUCAAAUAAAUUGGAAUUAUUCUUGCGAAUCGUUGCAAUUACGUGUAUUCUCAUGGGAUGUCAAUUUGCGUUAUCGCUUAGGGGUUCUUUUAUAUUUUUUUUUUGUGCGCCUUAGGCUAUUGCGGUUACACUCCGCUGCCAUGAGCAUCAAAUAAGUUGUUGUUGUUUCGUAUGAAUUUAAUUUCGUUAUGCUGCGCGCCUCCGCGAGAGUUGCCCGCGUAUUCCUCUCGCCAAGGUCGCGCCUCCGUAUAGAGCAUAUCCCGCGUCCGUUGUUUUAGCCGUUACGUAUGAUGUUCUCGGAGUUCGUAUGUGUAUGAGUUAUGUUGCGUUGUCGGUUGCGUUCAUGACGCUUGAGAAUUUGUUAGAAAUUAUUAAUUAAUAUUAGGUCGAGAACCAUGAACUGUAAGACGAAUUUUCGGUGACAUUAAUGGUAUUUAGUCGACAUUAAGAUCCGUAUACAUUCUUGUGUUUAUUUGGUUUUUGAUGAAUUUAUUGUAUUAUAUUAUAUAGCUUAAAGUUGGAUCUCUCUCUCUCACGAAAAUUAUUGGGUUUAUAUCUGCGUAUUAUUAAUAUUAGGAAUAUUGUAGAAGUUUGUACUUUUAUUUUAUGAUUAUCGGAAGUUAAAGAAUAUAUUUCCAUCAAAGAAAAUAUGAAAUAUGUAUUGAGUUUUGAAUUUAUAGAAUUGAUAGCCCAGUGACCAGCACACCCCGAACCACCCCUCUCUCCGCAACCUACAUCCUGAGCAGCGUGAGCAAA
Molecule: long non-coding RNA, 2479 nt
Organism: Diachasmimorpha longicaudata
Lineage: Eukaryota; Metazoa; Arthropoda; Insecta; Hymenoptera; Braconidae
Exons: 3
Source: RefSeq, a predicted model, not a curated record